UGGGGAAUAUUGCACAAUGGGCGCAAGCCUGAUGCAGCCAUGCCGCGUGUAUGAAGAAGGCCUUCGGGUUGUAAAGUACUUUCAGCGGGGAGGAAGGGAGUAAAGUUAAUACCUUUGCUCAUUGACGUUACCCGCAGAAGAAGCACCGGCUAACUCCGUGCCAGCAGCCGCGGUAAUACGGAGGGUGCAAGCGUUAAUCGGAAUUACUGGGCGUAAAGCGCACGCAGGCGGUUUGUUAAGUCAGAUGUGAAAUCCCCGGGCUCAACCUGGGAACUGCAUCUGAUACUGGGAAGCUUGAGUCUCGUAGAGGGGGGUAGAAUUCCAGGGGUAGCGGUGAAAUGCGUAGAGAUCUGGAGGAAUACCGGUGGCGAAGGCGGCCCCCUGGACGAAGACUGACGCUCAGGUGCGAAAGCGUGGGGAGCAAACAGG
This 429-nucleotide ribosomal RNA is filed under the name Chloroflexota bacterium. RNAcentral's name for it is "Chloroflexi bacterium partial 16S ribosomal RNA". It matches the Rfam family "Bacterial small subunit ribosomal RNA", at positions 355 to 776 of the family's 1533-position model. Lineage: Bacteria; Bacillati; Chloroflexota. The record is from RNAcentral.